GACGAACGCUGGCGGCGUGCUUAACACAUGCAAGUCGAACGGAAAGGCCCUGCUUUUGUGGGGUGCUCGAGUGGCGAACGGGUGAGUAACACGUGAGUAACCUGCCCUUGACUUUGGGAUAACUUCAGGAAACUGGGGCUAAUACCGGAUAGGAGCUCCUGCUGCAUGGUGGGGGUUGGAAAGUUUCGGCGGUUGGGGAUGGACUCGCGGCUUAUCAGCUUGUUGGGGGGGUAGUGGCUUACCAAGUCUUUGACGGGUAGCCGGCCUGGGAGGGUGACCGGCCACAUUGGGACUGGGAUACGGCCCAGACUCCUACGGGAGGCAGCAGUGGGGAAUAUUGCACAAUGGGCGGAAGCCUGAUGCAGCAACGCCGCGUGCGGGAUGACGGCCUUCGGGUUGUAAACCGCUUUCGCCUGUGACGAAGCGUGAGUGACGGUAAUGGGUAAAGAAGCACCGGCUAACUACGUG
This 468-nucleotide ribosomal RNA is filed under the name uncultured bacterium. Its description in RNAcentral is "partial 16S ribosomal RNA". It matches the Rfam family "Bacterial small subunit ribosomal RNA", at positions 28 to 507 of the family's 1533-position model. The record is from RNAcentral.